This 73-nucleotide transfer RNA is filed under the name Nactus sphaerodactylodes. RNAcentral describes it as "tRNA-Trp". Lineage: Eukaryota; Metazoa; Chordata; Lepidosauria; Squamata; Gekkonidae. The record is from RNAcentral.
AGAAAUUUAGGUUACACAACUUUUAAACCAAGAGACUUCAAAUCUCUAWACMAGGGGACAGCCCUAAUUUCUG